This 390-nucleotide ribosomal RNA is filed under the name Pseudomonas songnenensis. Its description in RNAcentral is "bacterial SSU rRNA". It matches the Rfam family "Bacterial small subunit ribosomal RNA", at positions 155 to 540 of the family's 1533-position model. Lineage: Bacteria; Pseudomonadati; Pseudomonadota; Gammaproteobacteria; Pseudomonadales; Pseudomonadaceae. The record is from RNAcentral.
AACUCGAGCUAAUACCGCAUACGUCCUACGGGAGAAAGCGGGGGAUCUUCGGACCUCGCGCUACCAGAUGAGCCUAGGUCGGAUUAGCUAGUUGGUGAGGUAAAGGCUCACCAAGGCUACGAUCCGUAGCUGGUCUGAGAGGAUGAUCAGCCACACUGGAACUGAGACACGGUCCAGACUCCUACGGGAGGCAGCAGUGGGGAAUAUUGGACAAUGGGCGAAAGCCUGAUCCAGCCAUGCCGCGUGUGUGAAGAAGGUCUUCGGAUUGUAAAGCACUUUAAGUUGGGAGGAAGGGCAGUAUUUUAAUACCUUGCUGUUUUGACGUUACCGACAGAAUAAGCACCGGGGGGCUUCGUGCCACCACCCGCGGUAAUACAAAGGGUGCAAGCG